Molecule: long non-coding RNA, 1373 nt
Organism: Triticum aestivum (bread wheat)
Lineage: Eukaryota; Viridiplantae; Streptophyta; Magnoliopsida; Poales; Poaceae
Exons: 5
Source: RefSeq, a predicted model, not a curated record
UUUAACUCACACAUUCCUUGAACUGAACAAAUACAUUUGAGUUCUUCCAUUUUUGAAUUUAUGCUUCUGUAAUGUCAUACCUUCAGUUUGGGUCAGUAAUGACCGGCUCACCAAUCGAUUAGGUUCAGAACAAAGUGUACUGGAUCUUGGUUAGGCAUCGUCCUUUAUAUGCAUCCAACUAUAGCCUAUGCCUGACCUUCAUGUUUAUCUUUUCAUUCGUCAAGGUCAUGUCCGCGGCACGGCGAGACGCCCGCGAAGCAUUGCUUGCUUCCAUGCCGACGCGAGCCGCCAGUCCACCCAGCUCACGAAUAGCCGCGCGGGUCUCCGAUCCAGCGCCCUCCCUAUGGCACAGCUCCACCGUGCUGACUGAUGCUGCCUACGCCAUGGAAAGGGCAAGUAUCUUCUUACCCUUUUAUCUCAGUAUGGUGUCCUAAUGUGGUGGAUGGACUUGGUAACACUGUUUGCUACGAUCGAGGACCCAGCACAGCUUGUUGUCGAGAGACGUGAAGAAAGUCUGAUAGUAGUUGCUGCAUUCGAGUUGAUUUCUAUCCCCAGAGCAUCAACCUUGGCACACUCUUUGAGAAGCAAACAGGUUCUGUUAAACGUGAACAUGUUUGCGUCAAGGCUUUGUUUAUGGUAGAAGAAGAAAUCGAGGUCGCCAAAACUCAUUGCUAGAUUACUCCACUGCAAAAAAUACAACUCACAACGGCAAGAAGGAAGAGCUCGGGCCACCCGCAACGCUAGGCCGCCGGCCCUCCUCCCUCAAGCUCAAGGCGGCGAAGAGAUGGUUGAGAUGGUGUUGCAGCUCCGUAGGUGGAGACAAUAUCUCUGCCACCGAGGGGGUUGUUUCGAGAGUGGAACUAACACAGUAUGCCCAUGGUGCGACUCAGCUCAUGGCUAUACAAAUUUCUUUGUUAAUGGGCAGUAUAAAAGGAAGGAAACUUAUUUUUUAACACUGAUGAGUAAUGAGUGCACUCUACAAGGUGUCCUCAUUUCGGGAUAGUAAGUCCGACGACAAGAGAUUCUACAUAUUUUCUCCCACAAAGGCAGCUAAGUUGAAGACAUAUUCAAAAGAUGACCGUGUCUCUGUGGUUGAGGCCUUGAUCUUGGUCAAGAGUGUUUAUUCGCUCAGGCCGCUUAGUGGAAGAAUAACUUUUGUGCAGAGUGACAUUUCUAUUUCGACUGCAAGGAAUCAAAAUAGGAUGACCAGGAGGCUUUAAACGAGAGUCUUAUACAGGAUUGAGAAUAGAUUAUGCUUUCAGAGUUUUCAUGCUACUGAAAGCAACUGAAGCUACGCUAUGAGGAUCAUCUAAGCUUGUUUGGAUCCAGUAGAUACCAUUUUUGAGGUAAAAAUGGCUGUGAAUAUUAAUUAC